RNAcentral lists this ribosomal RNA (468 nucleotides) under uncultured bacterium. Its description in RNAcentral is "partial 16S ribosomal RNA". The stretch from base 12 to 374 matches the Rfam family "Bacterial small subunit ribosomal RNA", at positions 39 to 400 of the family's 1533-position model. The record is from RNAcentral.
GACGAACGCUGGCGGCGUGCUUAACACAUGCAAGUCGAACGGAAAGGCCCUGCUUUUGUGGGGUGCUCGAGUGGCGAACGGGUGAGUAACACGUGAGUAACCUGCCCUUGACUUUGGGAUAACUUCAGGAAACUGGGGCUAAUACCGGAUAGGAGCUCCUGCUGCAUGGUGGGGGUUGGAAAGUUUCGGCGGUUGGGGAUGGACUCGCGGCUUAUCAGCUUGUUGGUGGGGUAGUGGCUUACCAAGGCUUUGACGGGUAGCCGGCCUGAGAGGGUGACCGGGCAGAUAGGGGAAGAGAGAGCGACAUGGCGGGUAGGGGAGGCAGGAAGGGGGGAGGGUGGAAAAUGGGCGUGAGAGUGAUGCAGCAGUGCCGCGUGGGGGGAGAGGGGGGUGGGGUUAGAGACAAAGUAAGCCGGUGAAGAAGAGGGAGGAGAGGAAAAGGGUAAAGAAGGAAAGGCAAAAUACAUG